Molecule: ribosomal RNA, 433 nt
Filed under: uncultured bacterium
Lineage: Bacteria
Description: partial 16S ribosomal RNA
Rfam family: Bacterial small subunit ribosomal RNA
Source: RNAcentral
AACGAACGCUGGCGGCAUGCCUAACACAUGCAAGUCGAACGAGACCUUCGGGUCUAGUGGCGCACGGGUGCGUAACGCGUGGGAACCUGCCCUUAGGUUCGGAAUAACUCCCCGAAAGGGGUGCUAAUACCGGUUAAUGUCUUCCGACCAAAGAUUUCUCGCUUUUGGAUGGGCCCGGGUUGGUUUCGCUAGUUGGUAGGGUAAAAGCCGGCCAAGGCGUCGAUCCAUAGCUGGUCUGAGAGGAUGACACGCCACACUGGGACUGAGACACGGACCAGACUCCUAGGGGAGGCAGCAGUGGGGAAUAUUGGACGAUGGGGGAAAGCGUGAUCCAGCAAUGCCGCGUGAGUGAUGAAGGCCUUAGGGUUGUAAAGCUCUUUUACCCGGGAUGAUAAUGACAGUACCGGGAGAAUAAGCUCCGGCUAACUCCGUG